UCGCGUAAAUGAUCAUUGGUUUCGUUACGUUAUAUUGCUGAACAAUGCAUGACUGUUCUUCGCGUACGUUCCCGACGUUUUUUUUCAUGGGGCCCCAUGCGCGUUUGCGUCGACGAAAGGCACAUUACUUUUAUUUUCUAAUUAAAUUUGCCCCUUGAGCGCGAAGCAUGAAGAUUAAAUAAUUGGUAAAGUAUGAAUCACAAUUGACUUUAUCACGUACAUAAGCUUUAUCUAGAAACAUCGAUGAUGUGACAUCACGAAGUGGUGAUGACGCCACAUAGAAGAAUCUUAUUUAAACAUGGUACGUGACGCCAUUGGAUCACGCGGGCUGUGGAACAAAUAAAAAAUGAAGAAGAGUCAGCGAAUUAUGUUUCAGAAGAAAAGUGCAAGCAAGGGCUUUCUUACAAGAGUAGACACCCACUAUACCAGCAUUGGCUGGGGGCUUUUCGUCCCGUAUUGGCUUUCCACCAACGCCAG
This is a non-coding RNA of Ciona intestinalis (vase tunicate), 477 nucleotides long. NCBI's taxonomy places the organism in Eukaryota, Metazoa, Chordata, Ascidiacea, Phlebobranchia, Cionidae. The record is from RefSeq and is a predicted model, not a curated record.